GUGAUAGUGAAUAGGUCUCAUGAGAUCUGAUGGUUUUAUAAAGGGCAGUUCCCCUGGACUUCUCCUUGCUGCCACCAUGUGAAGGACAUGUUUGCUUCCUCUUACACCAUGAUUCUGAGACAUCUGGUGGACUGACCUGAAUCCAGACAAGCAACUUCUCCAUCUUCAUUGCUAGAUUCAAACUUUAAAACUACUCUGUGAGGAAAUGAAAUGUGACUUUCCGAAAUAACUUCUAGCCCAAGGAGAUGGUGGAGGAGUGUGCCUGAGAGAGGCAUCACCACCGGAAAUGGUUGUUGGAGCAGGUGUACUUGU
RNAcentral lists this long non-coding RNA (312 nucleotides) under Callithrix jacchus (white-tufted-ear marmoset). Its description in RNAcentral is "lncRNA (ENSCJAG00000072870.1)". Lineage: Eukaryota; Metazoa; Chordata; Mammalia; Primates; Cebidae. The record is from RNAcentral.